GAUGAAGAACGUAGCGAAAUGCGAUAAGUAAUGUGAAUUGCAGAAUUCAGUGAAUCAUCGAAUCUUUGAACGCACAUUGCGCCCCCUGGUAUUCCGGGGGGCAUGCCUGUUCGAGCGUCAUUUCAACCUUCAAGCUCUGCUUGGUAUUGGGCCUGCGCUGGUCUCCCAGCGGGCCUCAAAAUCAGUGGCGGUGCCAUCUGGCUCCGAGCGUAGUAAUUCUUCUCGCUCUGGAGGCCCGGUCGUGUGCUCGCCAGCAACCCCCAAUUUUUUUCAGGUUGACCUCGGAUCAGGUAGGGAUACCCGCUGAACUUAAGCAUAUCAAUAAGCGGAGGA
RNAcentral lists this unclassified non-coding RNA (333 nucleotides) under soil metagenome. RNAcentral describes it as "partial contains 5.8S ribosomal RNA, internal transcribed spacer 2, and large subunit ribosomal RNA". The stretch from base 1 to 120 matches the Rfam family "5.8S ribosomal RNA", at positions 35 to 154 of the family's 154-position model. The record is from RNAcentral.